RNAcentral lists this ribosomal RNA (492 nucleotides) under uncultured bacterium. RNAcentral describes it as "partial 16S ribosomal RNA". It matches the Rfam family "Bacterial small subunit ribosomal RNA", at positions 29 to 507 of the family's 1533-position model. The record is from RNAcentral.
AGUGAACGCUGGCGGUAGGCCUAACACAUGCAAGUCGAACGGCAGCACAGUAAGAGCUUGCUCUUACGGGUUGCGAGUGGCGGACGGGUGAGGAAUACAUCGUAAUCUACUUUUUCGUGGGGGAUAACGUAGGUAAACUUACGCUAAUACCGCAUACGACCUACGGGUGAAAGCAUGGGAUCUUCUGACCUUGCGCGAUUGAAUGAGCCGCUGUCGGAUUAGCUAGUUGGCGGGGUAAAUGCCCACCAAGGCGACGAUCCGUAGCUGGUCUGAGAGGAUGAUCAGCCACACUGGAACUGAGACACGGUCCAGACUCCUACGGGAGGCAGCAGUGGGGAAUAGUGGACAAUGGGCGCAAGCCUGAUCCAGCCAUACCGCGUGGGUGAAGGAGGCCUUCGGGUUGUAAAGCCCUUUUGUUGGGAAAGAAAAGCAGCAGGUUAAGACCCAGCUGUUCUGACGGUACCCAAAGAAUAAGCACCGGCUAACUUCGUG